AUUGAACGCUGGCGGCAGGCCUAACACAUGCAAGUCGAGCGGAUGAAGGGAGCUUGCUCCUGGAUUCAGCGGCGGACGGGUGAGUAAUGCCUAUGAAUCUGCCUGGUAGUGGGGGAUAACGUCCGGAAACGGGCGCUAAUACCGCAUACGUCCUGAGGGAGAAAGUGGGGGAUCUUCGGACCUCACGCUAUCAGAUGAGCCUAGGUCGGAUUAGCUAGUUGGUGGGGUAAAGGCCUACCAAGGCGACGAUCCGUAACUGGUCUGAGAGGAUGAUCAGUCACACUGGAACUGAGACACGGUCCAGACUCCUACGGGAGGCAGCAGUGGGGAAUAUUGGACAAUGGGCGAAAGCCUGAUCCAGCCAUGCCGCGUGUGUGAAGAAGGUCUUCGGAUUGUAAAGCACUUUAAGUGGGGAGGAAGGGCAGUAAGUUAAUACCUUGCUGUUUUGACGUUACCAACAGAAUAAGCACCGGCUAACUUCGUG
This 484-nucleotide ribosomal RNA is filed under the name uncultured bacterium. RNAcentral describes it as "partial 16S ribosomal RNA". It matches the Rfam family "Bacterial small subunit ribosomal RNA", at positions 30 to 507 of the family's 1533-position model. The record is from RNAcentral.